Numida meleagris (helmeted guineafowl) is the source of this 1829-nucleotide long non-coding RNA. Lineage: Eukaryota; Metazoa; Chordata; Aves; Galliformes; Numididae. The record is from Ensembl.
CCCCCCCCAGGAACCCACGCCGAGGCCGCACGCCACAAAACCACAGCGGAUGCACGGGCUGCAAUAUACAAGACACGAUUUAUAAUAAAACAUUAUAUACAAUAAAUAGGUUAUUGUCACUUUUUUUGCCUUUGUUUUUUCUCUUUUUUUGUCUUUUUUUUUUUUUUUCUCCUCUUUUUUCUCGCUCUGUAAAUAAGUUUUCUCAGUGCACUCUGGUUUCUGCUCUUCUCUCCGCGUCUCCUCCCCUUUUUGCUUCAGGUUUUUCGCCACCAUCCGAUGCUCUCUCCACGUUUCCCCCCUUUUUUAUUUUAUUUUUAUUUUUAUUUUUUGGGGUGGGGGGGGAAAUGAAUUUUUUUGCCUUUUUGCUUUUGUAUUUUUAUCUUUUUUUAAUUUUUUUUUUAAAUUUUUUUUUCUCUCUCUUUUUUUUUUUUUUUUUACUUCAAAAGUAUUUACAAUUGCUGGUUUUUGUGCAGAAAACGAAACUUAAUAAAAAUUAAAAAAAAAAAUUAAAAAAAAAAUAAUAAUCAUUUCGAAAUCCGAAGAGUCCCCUCUGCUUCUGGCGGUGGGGGGGGGGGGGGGGGGGGGGGGGGGGGGGAGGGGGAGAAGCGGGGCCCCCUCCUCUCUCCUCUCCUCUCCUCUCUGCUCUCGGGGCCGGCGGAGGGCACGGGGAGCGCUGCUGGGGGGGCUGUGGGGAGAGGGGAGGGGGUGAGCGGCGGUGUUCCUCAAGGAGGGGGCGGGGGGGUCCCCAAUGGGUGGCACCCGUGGGUCCUGAACACCCCCAGCCAGCACCUAUGUACCCAGGGGUCUGGGGUCCUAGUCACCUCCAUCCAACACCCACACACCCAGAGGUCUGGCAUCCACGUGCUCAGGGGUCCGGGGUCCUGUUUUCUCCCCUCUCGCACCCACGUGCACCCAAUGGGCCCAGGGGGCUGCUCACCCCCACCCGACACUCGUGGACUCAGGAAUCUGUCACACCCAUGUACCCAGGGGUCUGGGUUCCUGCACAUCCCCCAUCCAACACCCACAUAUCUGAGGGUCUGGGGUCCUCAUAUUGCCCACCCAGCACUCAUGUACCCGGGGGUCUGGUGCCCAUCUACCUGGGGGUCUGGGGUCCUAGUCACCCCCAUCCUGCACCCACAUACCUCGGGGUCUGGUGCCCAUCUACCCAGGGCUCUGGGGUCCUGCACAUCCCCUAUCCAGCAUGCACAUACCCAGGGCUCUGGUGCCCAUCUGCUGGGGGGCCUGGGGUCCUGGUCACCCCCACCCAACACCCACACACCUGGGGGUCUGGGGUCCUCUUAAUGCCCACCCAGAACCCACAUACCCGGGGGUCUGGUGCCCAUCUACUCAGGGCUCUGGGGUCCUGCACAUCCCCUAUCCAGCAUGCACAUACCCAGGGGUCUGGUGCCCAUCUACCCAGGGGUCUGGGGUCCUGCUCGCCCCCCAGCCAACACCCACAUACCCCGGAUCUGGCACCCAUGUACACAGGGACGUGGGGACCCCGAGCCCCCCCCCACGUGGCACUUACUGGGCGACGGCUGCGUCUCGGGGACCCACGGCGAAGCCGCCCAAGUCUCCAGGCUGCGAGCUCUCCCAGCGCCCAUCGGGCAGCGUCCGGCACGACAAAACACCCCCAGCAAGCGAGCAAACGGGAGGGAAAAGAAAAAACCAAACCAGACUCCCCCCCCAGGGGCGGCCGAGGGGCCCCGUGGCACCGGGGAAGGGGGGUCCAGGCCACUGCCCCCCCGCGUCCGUCCGUCCGUCCGUCCGAUUGUCCUGCUGCGGGGGCAGUCCGGAAAGCAGCGCCGGGUCGGGGUGAGACGGAGCGG